RNAcentral lists this unclassified non-coding RNA (345 nucleotides) under soil metagenome. RNAcentral's name for it is "partial contains 5.8S ribosomal RNA, internal transcribed spacer 2, and large subunit ribosomal RNA". The stretch from base 1 to 120 matches the Rfam family "5.8S ribosomal RNA", at positions 35 to 154 of the family's 154-position model. The record is from RNAcentral.
GAUGAAGAACGUAGCGAAAUGCGAUACGUAAUGUGAAUUGCAGAAUUCAGUGAAUCAUCGAGUCUUUGAACGCACAUUGCGCCCCCUGGUAUUCCGGGGGGCAUGCCUGUCCGAGCGUCAUUGCUGCCCUCAAGCACGGCUUGUGUGUUGGGCCUCCGUCCUCCUCCCGGGGGACGGGCCCGAAAGGCAGCGGCGGCACCGCGUCCGGUCCUCGAGCGUAUGGGGCUUCGUCACCCGCUCUUGUAGGCCCGGCCGGCGCUUGCCGACACAUCAAUCUUUUUUCCAGGUUGACCUCGGAUCAGGUAGGGAUACCCGCUGAACUUAAGCUUAUCAAUAAGCGGAGGA